AAGAGGCACUGACUGUCUCUGAGUGAAAGGCUCUCUGGUGGGCUUCAUGAAGUAAUUGGCUAUGUUAGCAGCCAGGGGGCAAGGAACAUGUACCAGCUCUAGGAACCUCGGGCAACCUCUAGGACCUGAAGGUGGCCCCCAGGCAACAGCCGGCAAAAAACCAGGCCUUCAGUCAUCCAGCCACAAGGAAAUGACUUCUGCCACCAACUUAAAUAUUCUUGGAAGUGGAUUCUUCCCAGUGGAGCUGCAGAUGAAAGCACAACCCAGUCCACACCUUGACUAACGCCUGUAGGACCCGACCAGAGGACCCAGUGAGACCAUGCCCAGACUCCUGACCCUUGGAAAGGAAUGGAACAUGGAGGCUCGGCGGGUGUGCGUACAUGUACGUGUGUGUGUUACCUGUCCAGUUCAUUCACUUGUUCAGUCUACAGAUAUUUAUCGGAAGCGGAGCCGGCCUCCUUGCGGGCUGUGCAGCAUGUGCCGGCAGAUUCACGGAGAGUCACACCACAGCGUAUUGCCUCCCGAGGUGGCAGCACUAGUGCCUGAGCUGGGCUGCUCAGUGAGGCUCUCUGGACCGACGGCCACCUCCUGCCUCUAACCCUGGUGCUGCCCGGCUCUAGGAGGAGCUCAACUUACUUAGCUCCUUUUAUUUCUCUCGAGCUGGGAAGCCACAUGCACUUGACUUGCAUCCACUACACCAUUUCUUAAGCUCUGACGUUUCCCCUGCAAAUGGAAGAGGAGAUGAGCAGAAACCCACAUUUGUCAGACAUGGUUACCUGUUACCAGCUCAGCUGAAGACCAGGUGGGCGAAGAGAGGAAACUAAUGGGAUCCCCUGUCAAGGGCAUUUCCACCCUAGCCUGUCCCUCUUGUCGUGGAGACUUGGAUGCUUUCUUCAAGAUCUGGUGGCCCCAAACCCCCAAGAGACAGGAGAGCUUGUUUAUAUUAUCAUUUUAUUUCAAGUUGUGAGCUUUCCCUUUAUCACCAAAAAGUUCCUGGAAGAACACCAAUUUAGUUCGGUUUCACUGAGUAAUUGAACGUGUUUGCUAUCCACUGUGUAUUUUUAACCCCACAUUGUUUACUGGCCACCUUCCAUUGCAUGGUGUCAUUCUGUGUUGAAUACUGCAAAAGCAGAAGUCCCAGUGUCUGCCAAUAACGAAUGACUGGGGAGAAAA
RNAcentral lists this long non-coding RNA (1173 nucleotides) under Equus caballus (horse). RNAcentral describes it as "lncRNA (ENSECAG00000050745.1)". Lineage: Eukaryota; Metazoa; Chordata; Mammalia; Perissodactyla; Equidae. The record is from RNAcentral.